Molecule: ribosomal RNA, 942 nt
Filed under: Triticum aestivum (bread wheat)
Lineage: Eukaryota; Viridiplantae; Streptophyta; Magnoliopsida; Poales; Poaceae
Description: partial small subunit ribosomal RNA
Source: RNAcentral
UGCGCGCCGGGUCGACGGGGUGGAGGCUCAACGACGGGGGAGUGCCCGUUCCCCCGUUGCCCGACGCCGUGGCGCCCCCCCUACUUCGCCGCCGAGGUAGAGCUCGUGCGUGCCUCCCUCACCGACGAGCAGCUCGCCCUCCCCAACCACGCGGCGUGGGCGGCGUACUUCGAGCGCCGUCAGGAGCAGAGGCUGGGCAUAUUUCCUUCAGGGGCGUCGGUGGUGGGCGGCACGAAGAACAGCGAGGGGCGCCGCGUGUGGUGGGGCAUCCCCGGCCGCACGCUCGAGGGCGUGCUGACGCAUCCUGAGGGCGGCAACAACCCGCCGCUGGCAUACCCUCCCCAGGUGGCCGCCUCGGCCCACCGCCGACGCGCCGGGCAAUGGAUGCCCUGGAGGUUCGGCUCCUCCUCGUCUUCCUCCUCGCACUCCUCCUCACGGUUUUCUUCCCACUCCUCCGGCUCUCGGGCGCUGCUCGGCGUCAAGGCCGAGCCCGCGGCGGGGACGCCACUCGGCCAGCGCACUCGCAGCGCCGGCAUCGUCAUCAACGAGGACGGCCGGCGCGCCUCCUUGUCGGCUCCUCCGCGCUUCGUCAAGCCAAAGACGGAGCCGGGGCUCGCGCCGGUGAAAACGGAGCCGGGUCUCCCCGCCGUGAAGACGGAACACGACGACGCGGAGCUCGACGACGAGGCUGCCCUGAAAUGGGUGCACGAGGACUUCCUGAGGAUGGAGAGGGAGCGCCAGUGCGCCGCCCUGCGGCGCUUCAAGCAGCGUCGCCGGGGCCGCGACGAAGGAGGAGUCGUCGUCCUCGACGACGCGCCGCCGCCACCACCAGUCCGCCAUGGCGACGCCGGGCAGGGGUCCACCAGAGAUGGCCGUGUCAAGGAGGAGAAGGCCGCCACCGACGGCGGCGGCGAGGAUGGCAGCGACGACGGCGACUACUCC